RNAcentral lists this ribosomal RNA (495 nucleotides) under uncultured bacterium. RNAcentral's name for it is "partial 16S ribosomal RNA". It matches the Rfam family "Bacterial small subunit ribosomal RNA", at positions 28 to 507 of the family's 1533-position model. The record is from RNAcentral.
GACGAACGCUGGCGGCGUGCCUAAUACAUGCAAGUAGAACGCUGAAGGAGGAGCUUGCUUCUCUGGAUGAGUUGCGAACGGGUGAGUAACGCGUAGGUAACCUGCCUGGUAGCGGGGGAUAACUAUUGGAAACGAUAGCUAAUACCGCAUAAGAGUAGCUGUUGCAUGAUAUUUGCUUAAAAGGUGCAAUUGCAUCACUACCAGUUGGACCUGCGUUGUAUUAGCUAGUUGGUGGGGUAACGGCUCACCAAGGCGACGAUACAUAGCCGACCUGAGAGGGUGCGCGGCCGCACUGAGACUGAGACACGGCCCAUACUGCUACGGGAGGCAGCAGUAGGGAAUCUUCGGCAAUGGACGGAAGUCUGACCGAGCAACGCCGCGUGAGUGAAGAAGGUUUUCGGAUCGUAAAGCUCUGUUGUAAGGGAAGAACGAGUGUGAGAGUGGAAAGUUCACACUGUGACGGUAGCUUACCAGAAAGGGACGGCUAACUACGUG